This 209-nucleotide ribosomal RNA is filed under the name uncultured bacterium. RNAcentral's name for it is "partial 16S ribosomal RNA". It matches the Rfam family "Bacterial small subunit ribosomal RNA", at positions 568 to 776 of the family's 1533-position model. The record is from RNAcentral.
UGCGUAGACGGUUAUUUAAGUCGGGUGUGAAAGCCCCGGGCUCAACCUGGGAAUUGCAUUCGAGACUGAAUAGCUAGGGUACGGUAGAGGGAAGCGGAAUUUCCGGUGUAGCGGUGAAAUGCGUAGAUAUCGGAAGGAACAUCAGUGGCGAAAGCGGCUUCCUGGACCAGUACCGACGUUCAGGCACGAAAGCGUGGGGAGGCAAAACA